AGUGAACGCUGGCGGUAGGCCUAACACAUGCAAGUCGAACGGCAGCACAGUAAGAGCUUGCUCUUACGGGUGGCGAGUGGCGGACGGGUGAGGAAUACAUCGGAAUCUACUUUUUCGUGGGGGAUAACGUAGGGAAACUUACGCUAUUACCGCAUACGACCUACGGGUGAAAGCAGGGGAUCUUCGGACCUUGCGCGAUUGAAUGAGCCGAUGUCGGAUUAGCUAGUUGGCGGGGUAAAGGCCCACCAAGGCGACGAUCCGUAGCUGGUCUGAGAGGAUGAUCAGCCACACUGGAACUGAGACACGGUCCAGACUCCUACGGGAGGCAGCAGUGGGGAAUAUUGGACAAUGGGCGCAAGCCUGAUCCAGCCAUACCGCGUGGGUGAAGGAGGCCUUCGGGUUGUAAAGCCCUUUUGUUGGGAAAGAAAAGCAGCAGGUUAAUACCCCGCUGUUCUGACGGUACCCAAAGAAUAAGCACCGGCUAACUUCGUG
Molecule: ribosomal RNA, 492 nt
Filed under: uncultured bacterium
Lineage: Bacteria
Description: partial 16S ribosomal RNA
Rfam family: Bacterial small subunit ribosomal RNA
Source: RNAcentral